GCCUGGGUGGCUCAGUCGGUGGAGCAUCCGACUCCAGCUCCGGUCAUAAUCUCAUAGUUUGUGAGUUCGAGCCCCGCAUCGGGCU
Molecule: non-coding RNA, 85 nt
Organism: Felis catus (domestic cat)
Lineage: Eukaryota; Metazoa; Chordata; Mammalia; Carnivora; Felidae
Source: Rfam